Molecule: ribosomal RNA, 467 nt
Filed under: uncultured bacterium
Lineage: Bacteria
Description: partial 16S ribosomal RNA
Rfam family: Bacterial small subunit ribosomal RNA
Source: RNAcentral
GACGAACGCUGGCGGCGUGCUUAACACAUGCAAGUCGAACGGAAAGGCCCUGCUUUUGUGGGGUGCUCGAGUGGCGAACGGGUGAGUAACACGUGAGUAACCUGCCCUUGACUUUGGGAUAACUUCAGGAAACUGGGGCUAAUACCGGAUAGGAGCUCCUGCUGCAUGGUGGGGGUUGGAAAGUUUCGGCGGUUGGGGAUGGACUCGCGGCUUAUCAGCUUGUUGGUGGGGUAGUGGCUUACCAAGGCUUUGACGGGUAGCCGGCCUGAGAGGGUGACCGGCCACAUUGGGACUGAGAUACGGCCCAGACUCCUACGGGAGGCAGCAGUGGGGAAUAUUGCACAAUGGGCGGAAGCCUGAUGCAGCAACGCCGCGUGCGGGAUGACGGCCUUCGGGUUGUAAACCGCUUUCGCAUGUGACGAAGCGUGAGUGACGGUAAUGGGUAAAGAAGCACCGGCUAACUACGU